RNAcentral lists this ribosomal RNA (1509 nucleotides) under uncultured bacterium. RNAcentral describes it as "bacterial SSU rRNA". It matches the Rfam family "Bacterial small subunit ribosomal RNA". The record is from RNAcentral.
GAAGUUUGAUCAUGGCUCAGAACGAACGCUGGCGGCGUGGUUAAGGCAUGCAAGUCGAACGGAACCGUGGAUUGGGUAACCGAACUGCGGUUUAGUGGCGAACGGGUGAGGAAUACAUGGGUAACGUACCUCGGACUCAGGGAUAGCGGCGGGAACUUCGGUUCCCUUUGCGAAAGUGCCGGUAAUACCUGAUGAUCCGACUGCAUCGCAUGAUGUGGUCGGCAAAGGUCCGCCGGUCCGGGAGCGGCCCAUGUCCUAUCAGCUUGUUGGUGGGGUAACGGCCUACCAAGGCAUCGACGGGUAUCGGGCGUGGGAGCGUGACCCGACACAUCGGAACUGAGAUACUGUCCGGACACCUACGGGUGGCUGCAGCAACGAAUAUUCCGCAAUGGGCGAAAGCCUGACGGAGCGACGCCGCGUGCAGGAUGAAGUCUUUCGGGAUGUAAACUGCUGUCAGGGGCUAGGAAGUUCUGACCAGCCCCAAAGGAAGCGCCGGCUAAUUCCGUGCCAGCAGCCGCGGUAAUACGGAAGGCGCAAGCGUUGUUCGGAAUCACUGGGCUUAAAGAGCGUGUAGGCGGAAUGGUAGGUGCUUUGUGAAAUCCCUCGGCUCAACCGAGGAACUGCUUGGCAAACCCCCAUUCUUGAGGCAGGUAGAGGCGACUGGAACCUUUGGUGGAGCGGUGAAAUGCGUAGAGAUCAAAGGGGAACACCGGUGGCGAAAGCGGGUCGCUGGGCCUGUCCUGACGCUGAGACGCGAAAGCGUGGGUAGCAAACAGGAUUAGAUACCCUGGUAGUCCACGCCGUAAACGAUGCGCACGAGGUACGGAAGCCUCUGACGGAGACCGUGCCGAAGCGAAAGCGAUGAGUGCGCCGCCUGGGGAGUACGGCCGCAAGGCUAAAACUCAAAGGAAUUGACGGGGGCUCACACAAGCGGUGGAGCAUGUGGAUUAAUUCGAAGCAACGCGAAGAACCUUACCUGGGUUUGAAAUGCUAGGAUGCAGCGGUGAAAGCCGUCUAUGCUGCCUUUGGUGAAACUAGCACAGGUGCUGCAUGGCUGUCGUCAGCUCGUGCUGUGAAGUGUCGGGUUAAGUCCCUUAACGAGCGAAACCCCUAUCGUUAGUUGCCAGCGGUUCGGCCGGGAACUCUAGCGAGACUGCCGGCGUUAAGCCGGAGGAAGGUGGGGAUGACGUCAAGUCCUCAUGGCCCUUAUGGGUUGGGCUACACACGUGCUACAAUGGCGGCGACAGAGGGCAGCGACCCCGCGAGGGUGAGCUAAUCUCCAAAAGCCGUCUCAGUUCGGAUUGUUCUCUGCAACUCGAGAGCAUGAAGGUGGAAUCGCUAGUAAUCGCAGAACAGCAUGCUGCGGUGAAUACGUUCCCGGGCCUUGUACACACCGCCCGUCACAUCAUGGGAGUUGGCUUUACCCGAAGGUGGUGCGCUAACCUAGCAAUAGGAGGCAGCCAACCACGGUGAGGUCAGCGACUGGGAUGAAGUCGUAACAAGGUAACU